Molecule: non-coding RNA, 133 nt
Organism: Notechis scutatus (mainland tiger snake)
Lineage: Eukaryota; Metazoa; Chordata; Lepidosauria; Squamata; Elapidae
Source: RefSeq, a predicted model, not a curated record
UGAUCUAAAUUCGGAUGCUUGGCCACUGGCUCAUAUUUACGAUGGUUGCAGGGUCCUGGGAUCAGGUGAUCCCCUUUCACAACCUUCUAACAAGCUGAGUCAACGGGGGAGCCACCUUCACUGAGCAAUCUUC